Molecule: ribosomal RNA, 255 nt
Filed under: Staphylococcus aureus
Lineage: Bacteria; Bacillati; Bacillota; Bacilli; Caryophanales; Staphylococcaceae
Description: partial 23S ribosomal RNA
Rfam family: Bacterial large subunit ribosomal RNA
Source: RNAcentral
AGACCACCAGCUAAGGUCCCAAAAUAUAUGUUAAGUGGAAAAGGAUGUGGCGUUGCCCAGACAACUAGGAUGUUGGCUUAGAAGCAGCCAUCAUUUAAAGAGUGCGUAAUAGCUCACUAGUCGAGUGACACUGCGCCGAAAAUGUACCGGGGCUAAACAUAUUACCGAAGCUGUGGAUUGUCCUUUGGACAAUGGUAGGAGAGCGUUCUAAGGGCGUUGAAGCAUGAUCGUAAGGACAUGUGGAGCGCUUAGAAG